AGCAGCCGCGGUAAUUCCAGCUCCAAUAGCGUAUAUUAAAGUUGUUGCAGUUAAAAAGCUCGUAGUUGAACUUCGGGGUUUACCCAUUGGUCAGGCUUAAUUGUCUGCACUGGUGAGAUGAAUCUCUACCUUCUGAGGAACUUUCAUGCCAUUUAUUUGGUGUGAUUGGAAAUCAGGACUGUUACUUUGAAAAAAUUAGAGUGUUUAAAGCAGGCUAACGUCUGAAUACAUUAGCAUGGAAUAAUGAAAUAGGACGGACUGAUUCUAUUUCGUUGGUUUCUAGGAUCACCGUAAUGAUUAAUAGGGAUAGUUGGGGGCAUUAGUAUUCAAUUGUCAGAGGUGAAAUUCUUGGAUUUAUUGAAGACUAACUACUGCGAAAGCAUUUGCCAAGGAUGUUUUCAUUAAUCAAGAACGAAAGUUAGGGGAUCGAAGACGAUCAGAUACCGUCGUAGUCUUAACCAUAAACUAUGCCGACUAGGGAUCGGACGAAGUUAAUUUUAUAAUGACGCGUUCGGCACCUUACG
RNAcentral lists this ribosomal RNA (524 nucleotides) under uncultured Diversisporaceae. RNAcentral's name for it is "SSU rRNA". It matches the Rfam family "Eukaryotic small subunit ribosomal RNA", at positions 569 to 1092 of the family's 1831-position model. Lineage: Eukaryota; Fungi; Glomeromycota; Glomeromycetes; Diversisporales. The record is from RNAcentral.